ACGGGAGGCAGCAGUAGGGAAUCUUCCACAAUGGGCGAAAGCCUGAUGGAGCAACGCCGCGUGAGUGAAGAAGGUUUUCGGAUCGUAAAACUCUGUUGUAAGGGAAGAACAAGUACAGUAGUAACUGGCUGUACCUUGACGGUACCUUAUUAGAAAGCCACGGCUAACUACGUGCCAGCAGCCGCGGUAAUACGUAGGUGGCAAGCGUUGUCCGGAAUUAUUGGGCGUAAAGCGCGCGCAGGCGGUCCUUUAAGUCUGAUGUGAAAGCCCACGGCUCAACCGUGGAGGGUCAUUGGAAACUGGGGGACUUGAGUGCAGAAGAGGAAAGUGGAAUUCCAAGUGUAGCGGUGAAAUGCGUAGAGAUUUGGAGGAACACCAGUGGCGAAGGCGACUUUCUGGUCUGUAACUGACGCUGAGGCGCGAAAGCGUGGGGAGCAAACAGGAUUAGAUACCCUGGUA
This 459-nucleotide ribosomal RNA is filed under the name uncultured Lysinibacillus sp. RNAcentral describes it as "bacterial SSU rRNA". It matches the Rfam family "Bacterial small subunit ribosomal RNA", at positions 341 to 792 of the family's 1533-position model. The record is from RNAcentral. Lineage: Bacteria; Bacillati; Bacillota; Bacilli; Caryophanales; Bacillaceae.